AAAGAAGAGGAAAAGUCUUUAGCGUGGUUUAUCCGGACGUACUUUGGUCUGCUGAAGAUGUGGCCUUAUAGACAUCAUGUAGAAGUCACCGUGGAGUUUUGUGAAUGGAAAACGUUCUUGAAGAAACGAAGGUUAAAAUAUGAGGCUGUAGCGUGACGCAGGGUGGUACUGGAGGUGAUAUCCGGAGUAAUCAUGCGGGAGCUCCCAUCCUGAAACACGCAGAUCUCCAUGUGGCUGAAGCGACCGGCAGAUGCACACGGUUCUUAAUAUACUAUAAGGUACAAAUGAAACACAGGGGAAGUGACUGAGUUAGUUAAUGCCAAAGCAAAACCACGUGUCUUUUCAGGAUAUAACCAGGGUAAGUGUGUUCCCAAGCGCAAAAAAAAAAGUAUUCCACUUAUAAUAAUGGAUUGGAUUUAUAUAGCGCUUUUCAAGGCACCCAAAGCGCUUUACAAUACCACUAUUCAUUCACUCUCACAUUCAUACACUGGUGGAGGCAGCUACUGUUGUAGCCACAGCUGCCCUGGGGCAGACUGACAGAAGCGAGGCUGCCAUAUCGCGCCACUUAUCCCAGUCUGUUCCAUCACUACACUUUAUGUGGCUUUUAUUCAGAGUGUCUAUGGAGAUGUUGUUUCGUACUGAAUAUUCUGAAUGGAAAGUUACUUUCAGCUGGUCCCUUAUUCAUAAGCGGUCACCACAGUGGGUAGUUGUUUGAGUUGAACCACUGCGUUAAUCUCAAGCAGUUUGGACUGCUGUAAUGCUCUAUCAUCCUUCUUUUAUCAUCCUUCUAUUAGUUGACAAAGCACUGAGUGGUUUGGCCUCCCCAGUAUUUAUCUGACUAGGUCAGUGUCUAUAACAUAGUCUGACCUCUCAGAUCAUCAUGCAGAUGUUUAAUUGUCCCCAGAAAUGCAUGUAAUUCCUCUUUUCACUAGCAUCUACUCAGCUCAACUUGGUUUUAAGCGUUUUCCAUUAAGUGGUAGUACCUGGUACCAGGUUGUUUUUGUUUUCUUGGCCAGGGUAAGUCAUGAGAGCAACUCUUUCAUAAGACUCAAACUCACCAUUUUUGAAGGGGAAACGAGGGAAAUUACUACACAGUGACUAAAACAGAGUAGAAUGGAGUGGAGCCGAGGAGGUGUUGUUGGAAAAAGGCAGUGAAAAAUAUUGUGCCGAGGGUGCUUUUCAGCUGCUAGUGCUCCUGAUCUUUGGAACGAGCCACCUGCUGACCUGAGAUCAGUUACAAACAGGCUCAAAACCUUUUAUUCUCCCAGAACUCGGCUCAUAAGUGUGAACUGGUGUUUUACUACUUUGUAGUAAGUUUUAUUUUGCAGUUUUCAUUUUAAACCUACAUACCUUUUUAUGUUUUUAUCUUCUACCCAUUCACUUGUCAAGUGAAAGGUCAUUGAUUCGAUUCCAUCUGGAAAUGAAUUUCCCUCUAGGGGUUGUAUCAGGAAGGGGAUCUGGAUAUCAAACAUGCAAAGCUACCCUCUGCCGUGACUCCUUUGCCAAGGGAACAGCCGAAAGCUUGAGUGUAGUGAAAUGUACUCUAUAAAUAAAAUUACAGCUUGAAUUUUGAAUGCAUGGCUGAAUUCUGUUUUGCUCUGGAUGUAGUAAAUACAGUCAGACACCAUGCGACAUGAAUGCUUUCACAAACUGACUCAGCAGGAUGAGGGUGCUCAUUGUGCUUCUCAUUCUUACGUCAGAGUGAAUACAUCAACGGCCUCGUUCCUUCAAAGCGAUUCAGCCGGUAUAUUAAUGAUCUGUUGCUCAACAUUGCUUGCUGUCUUCCUCCCUGUUGAUGCUCUGUGCUGUUGGCUUGUUUCCUGUUUUAUUAGCUCAGAUUUAUCUCAUAGCUUCGGUUCUCCUUCUGUUUCAGCGUGUCUAAACAUUUACAUGAAGUGCAGCUCGACCUGUCGCCAGCCUCUGGGGAACUUCCCGAGGAUGGAUGAAAGCUUCCAAAGCAAGACUGUGGGGACAACUGUCAACACACUCAAAUCUGUCUGAAGUCGGUCAACCUGUGAUGUUUUUUUUGAUGUGCAUCUCACUCUGUUGAUAAUAAACUUUAAAAUUGUAAUUA
Molecule: long non-coding RNA, 2074 nt
Organism: Astatotilapia calliptera (eastern happy)
Lineage: Eukaryota; Metazoa; Chordata; Actinopteri; Cichliformes; Cichlidae
Source: Ensembl